CUCUGAUCUGGUCGAGAUGCAGUCGGCUACUGGAAACAAUCUGAUGCUCAGCAAUUUAACACUGAGGCCAGAAAGGAAAAGGACAAACUUGCUGGUUUGUUCUGUGACUGGAGGAUGUUGGGCUCUGUUAUAAUGAUGGGUUGUGCUGGUUCAUGUUCUGUGUCCGGAGUCUGACUUCUGAAUUGCCAUUGUACAGCUGUUAUGAGUGCUGAAUUCCAGACUACAAGACUGCAAUCCCUGAUGUGCCUUGAGUUCAGACAUGGGUAGUUCCAGGAUCUCGGGCAUUAAUUGGAGUUUACUGUCCUCACUGAAGAUUGUGGCAGUUCUGGGUUGCAGAGUUAUUCAGGUGUCAUGAGGCUGAGAAGGGAUGUUACUAAGAUGUUCCCUCCGUUAUGCAACUAAGCCUAGAUGGACUCAAGGUUCUGCCUUCCAGACCAGUAAUUUGAAAAUAUUUGCUGUGGACAGUGAAGUCUAAAGAACCCCCUCAACCAGCAGUGAUGUCUUGCUGUGGUUGGAACAUUGCUGGCCAUUUCAACACUUUUAACCUUAAACAUGGAUUUCUAACAUUUCCAUGUUUUCUUUUGUGGUAAAUUAAUGUGAGUUAGUAGUGAACUUACAGCACUGGUGUGUUUGAUGGGUCAAUAUUGCUGUAAAUGUUGAUGCAAAUUUUUGUCUUUGUCGCCAUCUGCAUGCUGUUCUGUAGGACACAAUUGGAUGUUGAUGGAAUGACUUAAAUAUUAGCUACAGCUGAUGCGUAAGUGGAGUAAUGUCUGCAUACAUUUAUCAAUCUUGAGCUGCCUGGCAAGGGUGUUGUAAUGCUGCUGCUCUAUGAAGUGUAUAGUUAAAAUGAAAUGAUUAGGGGUGAAAACAGUCAUUGUUCUGGAGCAUGUGGAUAUGCUACUUGUCUAAACAAGAAUAAAACAUUGUCAUAAUAUGGA
This is a long non-coding RNA of Esox lucius (northern pike), 938 nucleotides long. Lineage: Eukaryota; Metazoa; Chordata; Actinopteri; Esociformes; Esocidae. The record is from Ensembl.